RNAcentral lists this ribosomal RNA (660 nucleotides) under Salmonella enterica. Its description in RNAcentral is "bacterial SSU rRNA". It matches the Rfam family "Bacterial small subunit ribosomal RNA", at positions 108 to 764 of the family's 1533-position model. RNAcentral also lists the same sequence under 2 other names. Lineage: Bacteria; Pseudomonadati; Pseudomonadota; Gammaproteobacteria; Enterobacterales; Enterobacteriaceae. The record is from RNAcentral.
GAGUAAUGUCUGGGAAACUGCCUGAUGGAGGGGGAUAACUACUGGAAACGGUGGCUAAUACCGCAUAACGUCGCAAGACCAAAGAGGGGGACCUUCGGGCCUCUUGCCAUCAGAUGUGCCCAGAUGGGAUUAGCUUGUUGGUGAGGUAACGGCUCACCAAGGCGACGAUCCCUAGCUGGUCUGAGAGGAUGACCAGCCACACUGGAACUGAGACACGGUCCAGACUCCUACGGGAGGCAGCAGUGGGGAAUAUUGCACAAUGGGCGCAAGCCUGAUGCAGCCAUGCCGCGUGUAUGAAGAAGGCCUUCGGGUUGUAAAGUACUUUCAGCGGGGAGGAAGGUGUUGUGGUUAAUAACCGCAGCAAUUGACGUUACCCGCAGAAGAAGCACCGGCUAACUCCGUGCCAGCAGCCGCGGUAAUACGGAGGGUGCAAGCGUUAAUCGGAAUUACUGGGCGUAAAGCGCACGCAGGCGGUCUGUCAAGUCGGAUGUGAAAUCCCCGGGCUCAACCUGGGAACUGCAUUCGAAACUGGCAGGCUUGAGUCUUGUAGAGGGGGGUAGAAUUCCAGGUGUAGCGGUGAAAUGCGUAGAGAUCUGGAGGAAUACCGGUGGCGAAGGCGGCCCCCUGGACAAAGACUGACGCUCAGGUGCGAAAGCGUGG